GGUUGUAUGGAGUAGUUGGUUAACUUAGGAGAUUCUGAUUGGUUGAGCUCACCAGCUCAUCGAUACGAUUCGACUUCUCUUGCCCUGGGUUCGAAUCCCAGUACGACCU
RNAcentral lists this transfer RNA (109 nucleotides) under Mycosarcoma maydis (corn smut). Its description in RNAcentral is "tRNA-Gln for anticodon CUG". It matches the Rfam family "tRNA". From Rfam's summary of the family: Transfer RNA (tRNA) molecules are approximately 80 nucleotides in length. Their secondary structure includes four short double-helical elements and three loops (D, anti-codon, and T loops). The record is from RNAcentral. Lineage: Eukaryota; Fungi; Basidiomycota; Ustilaginomycetes; Ustilaginales.